RNAcentral lists this non-coding RNA (29 nucleotides) under Homo sapiens (human). The record is from RNAcentral. Lineage: Eukaryota; Metazoa; Chordata; Mammalia; Primates; Hominidae.
UGGGAAGGAGGAGGACAAGCAGAGCUGGG